Long non-coding RNA from Bactrocera latifrons, 1203 nucleotides. RefSeq lists it as uncharacterized. NCBI's taxonomy places the organism in Eukaryota, Metazoa, Arthropoda, Insecta, Diptera, Tephritidae. The transcript has 3 exons. The record is from RefSeq and is a predicted model, not a curated record.
CUGAUCGCCGAUCAGCAAUUGUUGUUCUUUCGUUUAUCAGCUGUUCGAACCGUUACUAAAGUGUGAUUUUAGGGGCAAACAAAUUUGCUUGUUUACUUUACUUUAAUGUUUAGGAAUUAUCUCAAACAAGGAAAGUGAAAUUGUUAUUUAUCAAUAAACGGACCACUAACCAUUUUUUAUAUUUGUAAAGCCAUCAGAUUUCUUCUUCGUCUUGUAUUUAUAUUCGUCACGUUACUAUGCAGAGGAUUAUUAAACAUAUUUACUAACGUUAGGUGAAGGAAGGUUUGCACAAUUGUCCAAGGUGCAGAAUUAUAUCCGAGUAGCAAGUAACGUUCAUCAUAGCACUAAUCCUAAAAACUUUUUCUUAUAACAACAAUAACAAUAACACGUAGGAUCUUCUAAUCACAGCAAAAUUAAACAAAAGCGACGCAGGUUGCUUUUUCCAUCCCCUUGCUGUUAAAUUGCUGACAUGCUUCAUGAAAUGACUGGAGCUAAUAUACAAAUUCAUUUAAAUGUAAACGGCUGCCUUUUGUGCUUGAGCAUUUGGUUUUAAUGAGUGCAAUUUUUUUUCGGAAUACCUCGUGAGUUAAUAACGACGUACAAAUUCAUCUAUUUGUGCUAUGGCAGCUGUACAGACAAAAUAAAAUUUUGUUUUUUAACUUAAGUUAAUAGUUAGAAAAAUAACUCUAAGUAAAAAUGCCACAUGGUAAAGAGCUAUCAGAUGGAUAGCGAAGUAGGCUAAUUUGAAUGCAAGAAGCCGGCAUAAAAAUUUGCGUAUUAGUAUUCUUGGUCGAAUUGCUGCUUCAGUGUACCGACAUCGUAAUACAGUCACAAAUUAUUUGAAACAUCAUCAAAACAAUGAUGAUAUCAAGCGUAUUGGUCGGUUACCAACAGUUGAUAAGCGGACCAAGAGACGCAUUCACCGUUCCCACGACAGUCGGGUCUACGAAAACCGGAACGGACCCGGAUUUUUAUCCGGCCAAGGACUGUCAACUCGGCAGAAUUCUGCCGUUACAACAAUAACAACGCAUUCAUCAUUUAGCAACUAGCGAAAGCAUGAGAAUGAGGCUAGAUAGAUAGAUAGAUAGAAUAUUUGAGGUAAUGGACCGCGAUCUAAGGUCCAGGGCCUUAAGCCUUUUUCCACAGAUUGCUGAGCAAUCCAGGAUUAGGUGUGCUGGUGUUUCCUGCUCCAGGUCGCAGAAU